Molecule: ribosomal RNA, 447 nt
Filed under: uncultured bacterium
Lineage: Bacteria
Description: bacterial SSU rRNA
Rfam family: Bacterial small subunit ribosomal RNA
Source: RNAcentral
UGGGGAAUAUUGGACAAUGGGCGAAAGCCUGAUCCAGCCAUGCCGCGUGAGUGACGAAGGCCUUAGGGUUGUAAAACUCUUUCGUCGGGGACGAUAAUGACGGUACCCGAAGAAGAAGCUCCGGCUAACUUCGUGCCAGCAGCCGCGGUAAUACGUAGGGACCAAGCGUUGUUCGGAUUUACUGGGCGUAAAGGGCGCGUAGGCGGCAUGACAAGUCACUUGUGAAAUCUCUGGGCUUAACCCAGAACGGCCAAGUGAUACUGUCGCGCUAGAGUGCAGAAGGGGCAAUCGGAAUUCUUGGUGUAGCGGUGAAAUGCGUAGAUAUCAAGAGGAACACCUGAGGUGAAGACGGGUUGCUGGGCUGACACUGACGCUGAGGCGCGAAAGCCAGGGGAGCAAACAGGAUUAGAUACCCAAGUAGUCCCUGAGCGGGCUGGCAAGGCGCAU